This 487-nucleotide ribosomal RNA is filed under the name Pseudomonas aeruginosa VRFPA05. RNAcentral describes it as "bacterial SSU rRNA". It matches the Rfam family "Bacterial small subunit ribosomal RNA", at positions 1 to 483 of the family's 1533-position model. Lineage: Bacteria; Pseudomonadati; Pseudomonadota; Gammaproteobacteria; Pseudomonadales; Pseudomonadaceae. The record is from RNAcentral.
GAACUGAAGAGUUUGAUCAUGGCUCAGAUUGAACGCUGGCGGCAGGCCUAACACAUGCAAGUCGAGCGGAUGAAGGGAGCUUGCUCCUGGAUUCAGCGGCGGACGGGUGAGUAAUGCCUAGGAAUCUGCCUGGUAGUGGGGGAUAACGUCCGGAAACGGGCGCUAAUACCGCAUACGUCCUGAGGGAGAAAGUGGGGGAUCUUCGGACCUCACGCUAUCAGAUGAGCCUAGGUCGGAUUAGCUAGUUGGUGGGGUAAAGGCCUACCAAGGCGACGAUCCGUAACUGGUCUGAGAGGAUGAUCAGUCACACUGGAACUGAGACACGGUCCAGACUCCUACGGGAGGCAGCAGUGGGGAAUAUUGGACAAUGGGCGAAAGCCUGAUCCAGCCAUGCCGCGUGUGUGAAGAAGGUCUUCGGAUUGUAAAGCACUUUAAGUUGGGAGGAAGGGCAGUAAGUUAAUACCUUGCUGUUUUGACGUUACCAACA